CACAAGACUCCGCACGUGUCGGGAGCCGUUGGGAGAAGGUUCGCCCAAUCCGCUGCACCUGGACGGUCAACGUCACGAUUUGCGGCCAACAUCGCUUUUCAGGAGCGUAUUCACCAAAUUCUCCAAGAGGCGGACCUGACAAGAGAGAUCGGGCACGAUCGGGUAUCCUUGCGAAAAGGCACUGAAUCUAAACCACCCGCGAAUAAGCUCCAGAUCGAACUACUCGGCGGUUGGUGUAUCGCACCAAACAAGCCCCUUCACAGGGUAAAGAAAUAAUCCACAGUUAGGAUGAACAACACUUAACCUAAACACCCCACAGGGCUGAAAACAAACUGCGGCAAUUCAUCGCACACACGGCGUUAGACAUCAAGUCACGCACGGAACCCACGGUGCGAGCGAAUCGGCACAACCAGGCGCUUAGGCAUAGGCGAAUCACUUCAUCCGCAGAGCCAUCGGGAGUUCUCCAGACGCAGGUCACGAGACGAUAUCGAGAGUGGCAGCUACGAGAGUUAACGGCCUCGGCGAUUCGAGGGAACAUAUACCCACCGUUCGAUGAGGACGAUGGCGGAGUGUAAGCUGCCCGGCAUAUCGCUUGGAGACCACCAUUGGUGAGGCACACUGGCACACGGUUGCUGAGGCAGUCACAAGGUCGGUGAGCUACGAAUACCUUAAGUUAAGCUAUAUGAACUAGAGUUAAGAAAAAGUAGGGGAAGGUAGGAUCUUUGAAAAUAAGAGAAAUAAAAAAAAUGUAAUGACAAAUUAAGUUUGGGCUGCAGUUCGUUGAUUCUGUCAUUCUUGCAUCCCUGAUUGCAAUUAACAUUUCAAAAGUGAUUGGUCUCGGAACCACCACAAUCGAUAGGUUUUACGACAUACAUCUGCUUGAAAGGGACUUUAAAACCAUUUUUUUGGCACCGGCUACACAAGAGUAUGGCGAAGUUAC
This is a long non-coding RNA of Aedes albopictus (Asian tiger mosquito), 940 nucleotides long. RefSeq lists it as uncharacterized. The transcript is spliced from 3 exons. NCBI's taxonomy places the organism in Eukaryota, Metazoa, Arthropoda, Insecta, Diptera, Culicidae. The record is from RefSeq and is a predicted model, not a curated record.